GCCAUGCCAUCCUUCUAUCUGAGGCACCCAGAGGAGGAAGGUGGAGCAUGGAGCCCAGAUGUACCCAGGGGAAAAGGACAAGGGCAGGGGGGAAUAGUGGCCUGUUUUAACCCUCUGUGCAAGGCGGGUCCCACUCCCCAGCUUCCCUGGUGAAGAGCUUCAGGUCUGCACUGGGGACAGCACAAGAGUCCAUCCAACGCUGAGAGACAGCCUGUCCGUUCCAUGAGACUCCUAGGCCAGUGACCAGUUUCUCCCACUGUUGACCACGGUCAAGACUCCUUGCCAAAAUAAGCUGGGAAAAGUUUUGUGAGUGCCCGGAUUCCAGCAGGAGUUGAGCUGGUCUGAGAAGAAAAACAGAGAAAAAGGAAAUUGCUCCAAAUGUUGAUUUGUUUAAACUUCUUCACCAACUUUACAACACAAGGCAACCAACAGAGACACACUUGUAAUGAAGUAAUCGGCCAUCGCAGCUAAUUUUCCAGCAACAAGAAAUGAUUCCCACUUCAUGGGGUCAAGAAGAAAUUGUGGUUCCUCUCAUAUAAAUGAAUGUCAGGAGAAGGAAAGGAAGGGGGGUAAUUAGGAAUGAGAAAUGGGGUCACAAUGCUUCUCCUUUUAGUUCAAAAAUGAAAAAUAGGGGCUGGAGGGAUAGAUCAGUGGUAGAGUGUGGGGCCCUGAGUUUGAUCCCUAGCACUUUGAAAAGAAAUAAAAGAAAGAAAGAAAAGUAGAUAGGCUUAGAGGACAAUCAGAGGUAAGAGGAGAGAGCUACCAACAAAAGAGGAUUACAUGGGUCAGGCAUAGUGGCCCAAGCCUGUAAUGCCAGCAACUUGGGAGGCUGAGGCAGGAGGAUUCCAAGUUGGAGGCUGGCCUCAGUAAU
This is a non-coding RNA of Ictidomys tridecemlineatus (thirteen-lined ground squirrel), 871 nucleotides long. Lineage: Eukaryota; Metazoa; Chordata; Mammalia; Rodentia; Sciuridae. The record is from RefSeq and is a predicted model, not a curated record.